CCUACGGGUGGCAGCAGUGAGGAAUAUUGGUCAAUGGACGAGAGUCUGAACCAGCCAAGUAGCGUGAAGGAUGACUGCCCUAUGGGUUGUAAACUUCUUUUAUAUGGGAAUAAAAUGUUCCACGUGUGGGAUUUUGUAUGUACCAUAUGAAUACGGAUCGGCUAACUCCGUGCCAGCAGCCGCGGUAAUACGGAGGAUCCGAGCGUUAUCCGGAUUUAUUGGGUUUAAAGGGAGCGUAGGUGGAUUGUUAAGUCAGUUGUGAAAGUUUGCGGCUCAACCGUAAAAUUGCAGUUGAAACUGGCAGUCUUGAGUACAGUAGAGGUGGGCGGAAUUCGUGGUGUAGCGGUGAAAUGCUUAGAUAUCACGAAGAACUCCGAUUGCGAAGGCAGUUCACUGGACUGCAACUGACACUGAGGCUCGAAAGUGUGGGUAUCAAACAGGAUUAGAUACCCUAGUAGUC
Molecule: ribosomal RNA, 460 nt
Filed under: uncultured bacterium
Lineage: Bacteria
Description: partial 16S ribosomal RNA
Rfam family: Bacterial small subunit ribosomal RNA
Source: RNAcentral